GCCUGACAACUGCUGUGAUUCUGAGUGUGGUUGUCAACGUUAUCCUCUUUGUGAGAAUGAAGAGGUCACGAUGUGAACACUGUGCAGCGGGGACCCCUUCUCAGCAGAGCCAGUAUGGGAAGCCUCAUGUCAACACGUCAGACCAACAGCUCCAUAGUGACGAUGAUGGCCUGAACUACUCUGCCCUGAAGU
This is a long non-coding RNA of Coregonus clupeaformis (lake whitefish), 192 nucleotides long. RefSeq lists it as uncharacterized. The record is from RefSeq and is a predicted model, not a curated record. The transcript has 3 exons. NCBI's taxonomy places the organism in Eukaryota, Metazoa, Chordata, Actinopteri, Salmoniformes, Salmonidae.